UUCGGAUUGCAGCCUGCAACUCGGCUGCAUGAAGCUGGAAUCGCUAGUAAUCGCAGAUCAGAAUGCCGCGGUGAAUACGUUCCCGGGUCUUGUACACACCGCCCGUCACACCAUGGGAGUCGGAAAUGCCCGAAGUCUGUGACCCAACCGAAAGGAGGGAGCAGCCGAAGGCAGGUCGGAUGACUGGGGUGAAGUCGUAACAAGGUAUC
Molecule: ribosomal RNA, 209 nt
Filed under: uncultured bacterium
Lineage: Bacteria
Description: partial 16S ribosomal RNA
Rfam family: Bacterial small subunit ribosomal RNA
Source: RNAcentral